UACGGAGGGUGCGAGCGUUAAUCGGAAUUACUGGGCGUAAAGCGCAUGCAGGCGGUCUGUUAAGCAAGAUGUGAAAGCCCGGGGCUCAACCUCGGAACAGCAUUUUGAACUGGCAGACUAGAGUGUGGUAGAGGGAGGUAGAAUUUCCUGUGUAGCGGUGAAAUGCGUAGAUAUAGGAAGGAAUACCGAUGGCGAAGGCAGCCUCCUGGACAAAGACUGACGCUCAGAUGCGAAAGCGUGGGGAGCAAACAGG
Molecule: ribosomal RNA, 253 nt
Filed under: uncultured bacterium
Lineage: Bacteria
Description: partial 16S ribosomal RNA
Rfam family: Bacterial small subunit ribosomal RNA
Source: RNAcentral